RNAcentral lists this ribosomal RNA (482 nucleotides) under uncultured bacterium. RNAcentral describes it as "partial 16S ribosomal RNA". It matches the Rfam family "Bacterial small subunit ribosomal RNA", at positions 30 to 507 of the family's 1533-position model. The record is from RNAcentral.
AUUGAACGCUGGCGGCAUGCCUUACACAUGCAAGUCGAACGGUAACGGGCCUUCGGGUGCCGACGAGUGGCGAACGGGUGCGUAAUACAUCGGAACGUGCCCGAUCGUGGGGGAUAACGAGGCUAAAGCUUUGCUAAUACCGCAUACGAUCUACGGAUGAAAGCAGGGGACCGCAAGGCCUUGCGCGGACGGAGCGGCCGCUGGCAGAUUAGGUAGUUGGUGGGAUAAAAGCUUACCAAGCCGACGAUCUGUAGCUGGUCUGAGAGGAUGAUCAGCCACACUGGGACUGAGACACGGCCCAGACUCCUACGGGAGGCAGCAGUGGGGAAUUUUGGACAAUGGGCGCAAGCCUGAUCCAGCCAUGCCGCGUGCAGGAUGAAGGCCUUCGGGUUGUAAAAUGCUUUUGUACGGAACGAAAAGCCUUCUUUUAAUACAGGAGGGUCAUGACGGUACCGUAAGAAUAAGCACCGGCUAACUACGUG